This 477-nucleotide long non-coding RNA is filed under the name Eucalyptus grandis. RNAcentral describes it as "long non-coding RNA (EGRA_LNC002577)". The record is from RNAcentral. Lineage: Eukaryota; Viridiplantae; Streptophyta; Magnoliopsida; Myrtales; Myrtaceae.
GAAAAUUGGCUCCGCAGAGAGACUCUAGUGGUCCUGCAUAUUCUAAACAGAAUGAGUAGAGAUAAGAUCAGAAGGAUUGAUUGAAAAAUGGGAACAAUGUGUAUCUGUCUCAAUCAGACGAGAAGAUACCUUAUCUACAAGGAUAAGAAUUCAUGUUUACCACCAACAGACACCUUAUCUAGAUUCAGAUAGAUCAUCCAGGACGAACCUUAAAAGGAUAUCCCAGAACAAAGGGUUAGGAGAAAUUUGGUCAACAAUAAUAUGGUGAUAGAAGAAAGUGUCUUCAGGUUAUAUACAAAUGUUGGUGAAAAACAUACUACUGCUAGUCCGAGUGCAGCGGCAGGUGCAGAUGGAGGAUCACUCAGUCUCCAUCUAUAUUAUAGAGUAACCUUUUAAAAGGAAUUUAUUUUCCCAAGACCGAUUUCUAGCAUGCUGGGAAGGAAGUAGACCAUCCUGGGUUGCUAGAGCCUAAUCAUG